AUGAACGCUGGCGGCGUGCUUAACACCUGCCAGUCGCACGAAGCACUUUAUUUGAUUUCCUUCGGGACUGAUUAUUUUGUGACUGAGUGGCGGACGGGUGAGUAACGCGUGGGUAACCUGCCUUGUACAGGGGGAUAACAGUUGGAAACGGCUGCUAAUACCGCAUAAGCGCACGGCAUCGCAUGAUGCAGUGUGAAAAACUCCGGUGGUAUAAGAUGGACCCGCGUUGGAUUAGCUAGUUGGUGAGGUAACGGCCCACCAAGGCGACGAUCCAUAGCCGACCUGAGAGGGUGACCGGCCACAUUGGGACUGAGACACGGCCCAAACUCCUACGGGAGGCAGCAGUGGGGAAUAUUGCACAAUGGGCGAAAGCCUGAUGCAGCGACGCCGCGUGAGCGAAGAAGUAUUUCGGUAUGUAAAGCUCUAUCAGCAGGGAAGAUAAUGACGGUACCUGACUAAGAAGCACCGGCUAAAUACGUG
This 480-nucleotide ribosomal RNA is filed under the name uncultured bacterium. RNAcentral describes it as "partial 16S ribosomal RNA". It matches the Rfam family "Bacterial small subunit ribosomal RNA", at positions 29 to 507 of the family's 1533-position model. The record is from RNAcentral.